GCCAGGUGUGGUGGUGCACACCUGUAAUCCUAGCUACUUAGGCUGAAGAAGGAGAAUCACUAAGUACAAGGUCAACUUUGUUAACUUAGUGAGACUCUGUCUU
RNAcentral lists this small RNA (103 nucleotides) under Marmota monax (woodchuck). The record is from RNAcentral. Lineage: Eukaryota; Metazoa; Chordata; Mammalia; Rodentia; Sciuridae.